GACCUGAAGGGAUCACAUAACGCGCACACACACACACACACAAACACUGCUUUCAUAGUCUCCUAAGGGCAGAUCAAUUCAAACAGCAAAUUUUUCCUUUUCAUACCUCAACAAUUUUCUGAUGACCUCUGCUUUCACUGCAGCUUCAUCAGGAACACAAACAUUAAGCAAAAAGUCCCUGCUGUCAGACUUCAUACCAGCACAAGUUAUCUCACUUUUCACUGUCUAUCGAUCACUAACACCAUGGUUCAACUCCUUCACCUAGGAUGAGUCAGUGAAAAAGAAAAGAAAGAAAAUACACACGCAAUCAUCAAGAUCAAGUUGAGUUAGUUUCUUCCUGUGCGUCUUCAUGGGAACUUACUCAGAAUGUUCAAGUCUCCCUUUUCUCAGACAGAUUUGGAUUCCUUCAUUAUUUGCAGGUUGUAGAAAAAUGUAGCAGCUCAUUUAACAAGAGCGAGAACAUCUGAUCAUACAUGUGGGUUUCUGUUUGCAAGAAACCCACAGGUUUGUGGGUAAACCUGUGGGUUUGAGAGAAAUUCCACUACAAAUGUUUGUGUUUGCUCAUUUUCAGCUUUAAAAACCAAGAAUAAAGCAUCACAACUUCCAAUAUAUAAACAUGCAAAAUUAUAAUGUUUUGUGCAGCUGACCCUGCAGAAUUCAUGUGACUGAGUCCAAACCUUUGUACAACAGUUAGGCUUGAUUAGUGAUGCUAAUAUCAUGAUUGUGGUUGGGUUUUGUUCCCCAUUCUUAUUGUCUUUUGAGUUUUGACCUUUGAAUCUUUUAUAUUUAACCUUCAUUUCCUGAAACAGUUUUGUUCUUCUGUUUUCUGCUUAGCCUGACUGACUCAAAAACAUUUUGUUUGGUGGAACAAAGAAAUUACCCUGAAUCUGAGCGGCAGCUGCAAUAUAAGCAGUUUGAAUUAUUUAAAGGUGAAGGAGUGGAGCUUUAAUUCUUUCUUUAUUAUCUCCUUAAGCAUAUGAAACACUGAACUGACCUUAAUGAAAGAAAAGGGGAUUAUUUAAGCCAUAAUUCUCUGCAGCAGAAUUUAAACUAACUUUUGAAUAAUUUAAUAUAGCAUUCGCAACUGGGAUUCAUGCAAGUUAAAUAAGAGUGAGGUUUGGCAGCGAGGGAGAUCACCAUGACAACAGAAUAUUUCAUGUUUAAUGUGCUAUUGAAACCCACCCAUUACUCUUUGUCAUUCUACAAUUUCUGUCAAAGAAAGAUGGACUUCAAUACAAACAUAAAGCGGAGAAAUGCCAGUGAUUUGCUUUGUGCUGAUUCCAAGUCCGGAUAAAUGCAGAGUAUUUUAUCAAGAAGGGAAUCCGAUGUUAAAAGCCUAAGCCAAAUCAAAUAUACGAAUCACAAACAUGGACUUCAGACUAUCGUGUUGAGGAUGAGUAGUAUCAGGAUUUAGUACAUCAGAGGGACAAAUCAUGUUAGAUGCUUUGUAGAUAAAGUCAGGAAGGCCAGAGUGAUAUGCUUGGAUUUUUUCAUAAGUGAAGGAAUGUUUGUAUUGGUAUAAGGAUGCUGAGGUUGGAGCGAAGCAGCCAGGAGGCUGAGGGCACGACCAAAAAGGAAGCUUAUGGAUGUAGAGGGGGAAAAAAGACAUGAAGUUAGUUGGUAUGAGGGUAAAAGAUACACAAGAUGGGACAAAAUGCUUUAUUGUAUCACAAUGGAAACAUUUCUUAAAAGAAAAAAAAGAGAGAAAAAGAAAAAGGAAAAACACAAAGGUGGACUUUAUCCUGAUGAAGUACAAUUCUGACUUUAGGUUUUAGGAAUAUUAUUUUAUGUCUUACCACCAAAUGAUCAAUUGAGAAGAGGGCGAUAUCACACAUUCUGGAUAAUGAGGUUAUGAAAUAUUCAUAAUCUUUUUCAUGCAUGCUGCUUUCAUAUCAAGAUGUUCAUCACCACAUUUACAGUUUGUCCAUUAACAUGUAGCCUUUUUUCCAUCAAAGUAAAAUCUUUUCCAAACCUCAUGGUGUCUAUACAUGAUACUUACAAAGCAAUAAAAUAUGUGAAAGUCAAUGUUUUUCAUUCCGACUCUAAAUAAAGUCAGAAUGCUGAA
Long non-coding RNA from Xiphophorus couchianus (Monterrey platyfish), 2065 nucleotides. RefSeq lists it as uncharacterized. The transcript is spliced from 3 exons. The record is from RefSeq and is a predicted model, not a curated record. NCBI's taxonomy places the organism in Eukaryota, Metazoa, Chordata, Actinopteri, Cyprinodontiformes, Poeciliidae.